This 553-nucleotide ribosomal RNA is filed under the name uncultured bacterium. Its description in RNAcentral is "partial 16S ribosomal RNA". It matches the Rfam family "Bacterial small subunit ribosomal RNA", at positions 355 to 893 of the family's 1533-position model. The record is from RNAcentral.
UGGGGAAUUUUGGACAAUGGGCGAAAGCCUGAUCCAGCAAUGCCGCGUGUGUGAAGAAGGCCUUCGGGUUGUAAAGCACUUUUGUCCGGAAAGAAAUCCUUGGCUCUAAUACAGUCGGGGGAUGACGGUACCGGAAGAAUAAGCACCGGCUAACUACGUGCCAGCAGCCGCGGUAAUACGUAGGGUGUAAGCGUUAAUCGGAAUUACUGGGCGUAAAGCGUGCGCAGGCGGUUUGCUAAGACCGAUGUGAAAUCCCCGGGCUCAACCUGGGAACUGCAUUGGUGACUGGCAGGCUAGAGUAUGGCAGAGGGGGGUAGAAUUCCACGUGUAGCAGUGAAAUGCGUAGAGAUGUGGAGGAAUACCGAUGGCGAAGGCAGCCCCCUGGGCCAAGUACUGACGCUCAUGCACGAAAGCGUGGGGGAGCAAACAGGAUUAGAUACCCCUGGUAGUCCACGCCCCUAAAACGAUGUCAACUAGUUGUUGGGGGAUUCAUUUUCCUUAGUAACGUAGCUAACGCGUGAAGUUGACCGCCUGGGGGAGUACGGUCGCAAGA